This 28-nucleotide small RNA is filed under the name Bombyx mori (domestic silkworm). RNAcentral's name for it is "ovarian small RNA-7652". The record is from RNAcentral. Lineage: Eukaryota; Metazoa; Arthropoda; Insecta; Lepidoptera; Bombycidae.
UCGUCGUGUAGGUCAACGUUCCUCACGA